Molecule: ribosomal RNA, 626 nt
Filed under: Trapelia thieleana
Lineage: Eukaryota; Fungi; Ascomycota; Lecanoromycetes; Trapeliales; Trapeliaceae
Description: SSU rRNA
Rfam family: Bacterial small subunit ribosomal RNA
Source: RNAcentral
GUGCAAGAUCGACUAUGUUGAAUAAAGUUCUAGGUAGAGUUAUGAUAAUGACAUUUUCUACCUAUGUGUCUUGACCAAGUCACGUGCCAGCAGUCGCGGUAAUACGUGGAAGACUAGUGUUAUUCAUCUUUAAUUGGUUUAAAGGGUACUUAGACGGUUAAUCAAGCCCUACUAAUUAGCUAGAGUUUUAUAUGAGAAGGGGAGUACUAAAGAGUGUAGAGAUGAAAUUCUGUCAUACCUGACUUGGAACAGGCAACGGCGAAGGCAACCUUUUAUGUAAAAACUGACGUUGAAGGACGAAGGCUUAGGACACCAACAGGAUUAGAUACCCCAGCAGUCUAAGCAGACAAUGAUGAAUGUCAUAGAUUAGAGUCUAUAAAUGAAAGUGUAAGCAUUCCACCUCAAGAGUAAUGUGGCAACGCAGAAACUGAAAUCAUUAGACCGUUUCUGAAACCAGUAGUGAAGUAUGUUGUUUAAUUUGUUGGCCCGCAAAACACCUUACCACAUUACAAGCGUUGCACGGCUGUUUUCAGUUAAUGUCGUGAGAUUUUGGUUAGUUCCAUUAAAUUAACGUAAACCCUUACUUUAUUUAAAGUAGUUCACCGCUAUAUUGGAUAUGAUAAAAG